RNAcentral lists this long non-coding RNA (1135 nucleotides) under Prunus persica (peach). RNAcentral describes it as "long non-coding RNA (PPER_LNC007897)". Lineage: Eukaryota; Viridiplantae; Streptophyta; Magnoliopsida; Rosales; Rosaceae. The record is from RNAcentral.
UGGCUUUUGCUGAACCAAAUUUGUAACGAGAGAAGUCUCGCGUUGAAUGACUUGUUUCUCUAAGUUUGAAUUUUGGAAGUUCUGAUCUAUAGGUGGCUUCUUUUGUGGCUCAAAUGAGCUUUUGUUUGCUUCAGUUUGUUUGAAGGUUCUCAGUGAUCAAGUGAUCAUUUUGAGUUUUUUGCCUUUGGUUGAUUUUUUGAUUGUUUGAUUGAUUGUUCAAUUUUUAUUUUUAUUUUAUUUUUUUUGUGUUUUGCUCUGUUCACCCUCUCUUUAUAUUUAUAAGAAAUGUUCUAGAGUACGGUUUCUUUCUUUUAAUAAUGGACGGCAAAAUUCUCAAAAGAUCUUUCAUUUUUAAAUACAAAGAAGAAGGGGUUUUUAUCAAUUCUGGCAGAUAGGCUCUCAAUAGUCAAUUCUUUUAAGACCAAUCACUUCUCUGUUUUUGGAAGAGAACCUAACCCCUCUUUAAUUCCAACUGCCCCUUUGUGAGAGCUCAAACAGUGAUGUUCAGUUUGCUUUUCCAGUUUGAACAACUCCCUGUUUUCCUGCUUAUCUCUUUUUGAGAACUUAGCCUGCGUAUCCCUUGAAAGAUGGUGCUUUCCUUGGAGUAGAAACAAUAUCUUUGAAUAUAUAAAAGGGUUUUAAUCUUCUUGUGGCAGAGAUUUCAGAGAUGUCUCUUCUUUUUGCCUGCCUCUGUCAACUCUUUAUCAACCCAGUUGAAAUUGCUGAUUUUUCCAAGUCAGAGAAAAAAAUCACGUGGGUCUGUUUCCUUUUGGGUUUCCACUUUUUACUUUGAUCAUGCCAAGCCCAAUUUAGUUUCUUCGAAGCCCAAGCUUGAGAUAGGUUCUGGCUAUUGUUGGAUUUUGGACCUUUGAUUCCUGUUUAUUUUCAGAGUCCAGACUUCUCAGGCCCAGCGUUUUUAUCCUUGUUAUUCUGAGCUCUAUAGCGUUGGACUGGGUGUGCAAGAUUUUGGCCCAAACAACACCUUAGUUAUAGAAUUUACUAAAACCUAUAACUAAAAUGUUAAUAAAACAUUUAAAUAAAUAAAAUAAAUAUUUCACAUAGAAUAUUCAGCGAAAAAGCAGAAACAACAAAAUCUGAAACCUUAAAAUUUUUACAUUAUUUUACAAGUUAGAAC